AUUGAAUUUAGACUCUAAAUUGAAUUUAUAAAUUGUUUUAUAACAGAAGUUUGUGUCACAUUUUUGUGUUCAGUUUAUCUAAUAAAGGAGGAAAAUAGUUUUAAAUUAUUUUUAAUCAAAAGCUGAACUUUCUCAAAAAUAUUUCGUCUAAGUUUUAUCUCAAUACACUGAACUUGUUGACUUUGUUCUUGACCACCCUUAAAAUGAAGAAGGCCGUCUCGGUACUCUCUGUCAUAAGUACUGGGUAAUUGAGAUUAUUUGCUUAUCUCAAAAAUGUUGUUUUUAUUCCCAGCAUUAGUUGUACUUUUUUUCUUUUUAAUAUAUCUUCUAGAUUCUUAUUUUGGGUUCUUAUAUGUUAAAUAACAUUUCAUGUAUUUUAAUAUUUUAUAAGCUUUACCUAACUUACUACUUGGUGGUAAUUAUAUAAGGAUAAAAUAAUG
This 440-nucleotide long non-coding RNA is filed under the name Bos taurus (domestic cattle). Its description in RNAcentral is "long non-coding RNA NONBTAT019415". Lineage: Eukaryota; Metazoa; Chordata; Mammalia; Artiodactyla; Bovidae. The record is from RNAcentral.